GGAGAUUGGGUCUUCUACGCUGUGAGAGCACUGGUAUCUCAGCUUUUCAGCCUCAGUGGUCAUGUUCAGGGUCAUGGGCUCAGGGUCAUGGGCUCAGGGUCAGUUCCUUUCCUUGUCUUUGGGGCACAGUGCUCUGGACACACGUGUACACCACAGGGUGGACCUGGGAAUGGCUCAGACCCACUGCUCAGGCCAAGAUAGGCUGACACACACAAGCCUGUGGUGAACGGGCGCUCAUACAGCUUUGUAGGUAGGCCUCUGGCACCUUGCAGUUUCUUCCCACCCCUCAAGUCAGGAAGUAGUGGUAGCAGAAAGCACAGUGGUGGGAGAGGAGCCCACCCACCUGCCAAUAGCUGCUGGGAUGGGACUGGGCCCCCAGGCCCUGCUGCCACAUGCAGAAGCAGCUGUCACGCCUGCUCUCUUUGCCCCCAGCUGCUGGUGAGCUGGGGCAGCACCUCCACCAUCUACCAUCACAUCCACAAGCUCUUCACUUACAGGAUGGGAAUCACGCUUCAGCAAGCCCUCGAUGCUCUAGCCACCAGCUGGCCCCAGACCACCCAGGCUUGCCCUCUCCAGGGUGCACGCUCUGCUGGGGCACACAUCAGGCCAAGGGGCCACCCAGGGGUUCCUCUGGGCUCAUGCCUAAGCCUGGACAUGCAGCCAGGGGGUCUGCACCCAGGAGUGAUGCUUGCCUGGAGCAGCACUGAGCAGGGGAGGCAAGGUGGCCUCUACCCUGCUGUCCCAAGGAGGCAGGCAGUUGGGAACAGUUCAUUGGCUGUAGCCUGACCAAAUGACUUCAGACUGUGGCAUCCAGGCUGCUGGCAGGCUCAGCUGUGCUGAGUGAUAAACCUUUUGGAUGCCGUCUGGAGGACCUGGCCACAGAGCGAACAGCAGGGCUGUGGCUUCUCACAGAAGGGGACAUGGGGAGGUUGUUGCUGGAGGGGACCUGAACCAUCAGCUACGAACAUGGGCAGCAUGCCAGGUCAUUCUCCAGAGGCACACCCAGCACAGCUAACGCCUUCUAAACAUUUGCCAAACCAACAGGUGAGGACUGCUCCCUGCUGGUGGCUCCUUCUGGAUUCCUAAUGGGGCUGACUUUCUUCCUGUCCUUACUGGCCUCUGGUUUCCUCCUCUGCAUUCUCUUCCCAGCUCGUCUCUUG
RNAcentral lists this long non-coding RNA (1160 nucleotides) under Marmota monax (woodchuck). The record is from RNAcentral. Lineage: Eukaryota; Metazoa; Chordata; Mammalia; Rodentia; Sciuridae.